This is a long non-coding RNA of Oncorhynchus tshawytscha (Chinook salmon), 571 nucleotides long. The record is from Ensembl. Lineage: Eukaryota; Metazoa; Chordata; Actinopteri; Salmoniformes; Salmonidae.
CCACGAUAGCACUGUCUGCGUAUGCAGAUGACGUGAUAGUUUUUAUUACAGGGGGUGAGGAUGUUAAGGUUCUCUCAAACGCUUUAAAGGUGUAUGAGGGGGCCUCCUCAGCUAAAGUCAAUUGGGGAAAGAGUGAAGCGCUGUGGGCAGGUCAGCUUCAGAUGGGGUCUACUCCACGGUUACCAGGGGGGCUUCAGUGGGGCAGAGAUGGAAUGAAGACUUUGGGGGUUUUUCUAGGCUCCGAUGUCUUUCAAAAAAAGAACUGGGAGGGUGUAGUGGAGAAAGUGUGUGCCAGACUGUCAAGGUGGAAAUGGGUGUUGCCCCAGCUGUCUUAUAGGGGACGGGUCAGCUUCAGAUGGGGUCUACUCCAUGGUUACCAGGGGGGCUUCAGUGGGGCAGAGAUGGAAUGAAGACUUUGGGGGUUUUUCUAGGCUCCGAUGUCUUUCAAAAAAAGAACUGGGAGGGUGUAGUGGAGAAAGUGUGUGCCAGACUGUCAAGGUGGAAAUGGGUGUUGCCCCAGCUGUCUUAUAGGGGACGGGUCCUGGUAGCUAAUAAUCUUGCUGCUUCUACC